Molecule: ribosomal RNA, 211 nt
Filed under: Vibrio parahaemolyticus
Lineage: Bacteria; Pseudomonadati; Pseudomonadota; Gammaproteobacteria; Vibrionales; Vibrionaceae
Description: partial 23S ribosomal RNA
Rfam family: Bacterial large subunit ribosomal RNA
Source: RNAcentral
CUGGUCGCAAGAUCAGCCGCAGUGAAAAGGCCCAAGCAACUGUUUAUCAAAAACACAGGCAUCUGCAAAAUCGUAAGAUGAAGUAUAGGUGCUGACACCUGCCCGGUGCUGGAAGGUUAAGAGGAGAGCUUAGCGCAAGCGAAGGUUUGAAUUGAAGCCCCAGUAAACGGCGGCCGUAACUAUAACGGUCCUAAGGUAGCGAAAUUCCUUG